UACGGAGGGAGCUAGCGUUGUUCGGAAUUACUGGGCGUAAAGCGCGCGUAGGCGGCUUUGUAAGUUAGAGGUGAAAGCCCGGGGCUCAACCCCGGAACUGCCUUUGAUACUGCAAAUCUCGAGUCCGGAAGAGGUGAGUGGAAUUCCUAGUGUAGAGGUGAAAUUCGUAGAUAUUAGGAAGAACACCAGUGGCGAAGGCGGCUCACUGGUCCGGUACUGACGCUGAGGUGCGAAAGCGUGGGGAGCAAACAGG
Molecule: ribosomal RNA, 253 nt
Filed under: uncultured bacterium
Lineage: Bacteria
Description: partial 16S ribosomal RNA
Rfam family: Bacterial small subunit ribosomal RNA
Source: RNAcentral